GGAGAGUAGUGCCAGCAGAGAGCAUGUCCAGCUCUGUGCCUCAGCACAUCCAAGAAUCCAGGUUAAAGUCACCAGGUCAAAGUGCGCUUUCGUCUCCACGAUAUGCUAGUAAACCGAGUAUUAAGAGUACAGAGUCCAUAUCCAGGCAAUCUGAGAGAAUAUUGUCUGCAGAAAAUGUACUGGGCUCCCGUAAAAAGGAUUUUCUACAGCCUCCAGAAGCCAACAUGAGAUCAUCCAGCCAAACUGCUCUCUCUUCACCUCAAAUUGGUGAUAAACCAGUAACUAAGCAAGCAGAAUCAGUUGUACCGCAAAAUGAGAGGACAGGAGGCGCCGAAAGCAUUUCUGGUUUUUUCAACAUGAUACCUGAU
RNAcentral lists this unclassified non-coding RNA (368 nucleotides) under Hevea brasiliensis (rubber tree). Lineage: Eukaryota; Viridiplantae; Streptophyta; Magnoliopsida; Malpighiales; Euphorbiaceae. The record is from RNAcentral.